This is a long non-coding RNA of Phyllopteryx taeniolatus (common seadragon), 1753 nucleotides long. RefSeq lists it as uncharacterized. The record is from RefSeq and is a predicted model, not a curated record. NCBI's taxonomy places the organism in Eukaryota, Metazoa, Chordata, Actinopteri, Syngnathiformes, Syngnathidae. The transcript has 4 exons.
AAAGGGCCAUAUUGUGAAAAUGGACUUUUUAGUUGCUUGUAUAGUAGUUGCAUUUCUGGAGUACCUGCCCACCCAUCAAGUGUGAUAUUAAACAACCAAGUAAAUCUUUUGUAAUCUGCUUUAAUGUGUCUCAGUCUAUGAUUGGGCAGCUAGGCUCCAAGAUCUUCCAUUGUCACGCGACCAGACUACACGGAAGCACUAUCAUGUCGAGGCCAAAAGCAUCCUCGGUGGCAGCAUGGAGAUGUCCUACUGGUGAACACUAGGAGGCGUAGUGACAGACCACAAUAAUCAAUCUCUCCGGGGCAAGCCUUCGCAGACGAGCGAGUGGUGAAGGAAUGCUGCGACUCGCUGAAGCGGAAUGAGGAAUUAAUGAUAUUAAAAUCUCACCAGCUGAAGUUAAACAUGAAGAUACCAACAGUACUACUAUGAAAGCUAUGUGAUGCUUCUACACACAUUGUCAUGGCGUAGUGCCCGCCACAAAGUACUGUCAACUGUAAAGAGGGUCCUCAUUUUCCGACCAGACCAACCUACGGAGUUCUGUGGUCAUGGAAGGCGCGCGAUGAAGCAAACCACAGGUAAAGCUGAGAAUGAUCAAACGCUCCACUUGCUGCUCUGUGCCGCAACUCCUCAUUGAUGAACUGGGAAAGGGGGAUGGGAAGACGGGAACUGGCGACAAGACGGGUAGCAGAGAAACAAGCCAAGAGACGUCCCUGCUACUGUACCCUCAUUUGUGUGUGUGUGUGUGUGUGUGUUGUUUUUAAUUGGCCACCAGGGAGCACUCCUACCUGCAUGACAAUGAGGAGAUCGAAGACCAAGAUGAAGGAGGCCAGGAAGGCUCUGGAGACCUCAUCGCUGGGCAAGAAGCCUUGGUUCAGGCUGUCCCAGCAGAUCCAGUCGGAAACGAUGGCUAGAACAACCACUGACGUCAGCAAGACGAGCACGGACCUGCGGCACGUUAUGCCAAGUAGAGCGAGAGAGAAAGAUUAUAUUUAUUAAUGAAUUAGAGAGGAAACCAACCUUGAAACAAACAUUUAUUUUCCCUAAAAUCCAAAUGCAUUUAUUACAUCCUGGAAGAGAAGAAAGAGGCGCUACAGAGGGAGUCAACGUAGUGAACAGCAACAUUCAUUAGACAAGUGUUCAUGACAAGAUAAGUGAAGUGUAAUUGUGCAUGCCUUUCUACACACCAUGGUGACUAUAUAUGUCACAUUAACCAACACACAAGGGUUUUUUUCUCCCCAUCAUGUUGUGAUAAAGUUUUUAAACGCUUCCAUUUUAAACUACACUGACAUUUCAUAGAGCGCAGACCAAGGCAGAAACCUCAUUUGGAACAGCAGCACUCACACUGUAGGAUUCUCAUGCACAUGCCUGAAUAAUGUCAUUAUGAUCCAUUCACAGUGAGAAAUAAGGAAACAAUAAAUACAUAAACUUGAUUGUAGUACAAGUACAACAAAAUGAGGUUCACAGCUUUCAGAUGCAUUGAAUAAAAUACUUUUCAAUGAUUCAAGGACUUUAAGUGUCAUUCAACACACAUUUACACAUGAUAUAGAAUAAAAAGAUAGUAAUUUAACAAUUGAACAAGGGAAUUGUAAAUGAAUUUUCAUGUUAAUUUCAUACUGUCAGUGUACAAUGAAAAACAAGUAACUGUUAUACAUGUCUACCUACCUUCUGUAACUGCAUUUUGUGUAUUGACAUGCUCCAUAUAACUAUAUUUACAUGUCCGGAAGCACACUAAAAUAAAUAGUGUAAUGUGGAA